This 3110-nucleotide long non-coding RNA is filed under the name Paramuricea clavata. Lineage: Eukaryota; Metazoa; Cnidaria; Anthozoa; Malacalcyonacea; Plexauridae. The record is from RNAcentral.
UUGACACAGUCCAGCGAUUUUAUUUGCUGCAUGAAAGAAUGCAACGAGUGUUUUCACUCGACAAAAUUGAAUGCAUUAGAAACGUACAUGGAACCGGCCAUUUUAACCUGGAAAGAACAUGCAUAUGUACUUUCUGUCAUGGCAGUGACUUCUCCUGAUAAUAUGCAACGACCAAUGUCUUGCUUAUAACACCAAAUAGUUGUGAAUUGACUGACAAAUUUGAACUAAACCUGUAUCAGUUGCUGAAGCCGAGACUCCCUGCUAUUAUGGAUACACACGUGUGUUUGGUGUUAAUCAGUAUACUGAUUUUAUUGAUGGCACAAAAUGUCAAUGGACAAGGUUAGGUGCUCAAUGGUUUGAAAUACAACGAAUACCAAACGGUGAAGAUGUAGGACUGAUAUAUCUACGUGUUCUGUAAUUAACUACGAUAUUAUUUAUAUGACACGUGCCAUCAACUCGUGUAAAUAUAUCUAAAAACUAAAUGUAAAGAUUAAAAUUUUGUUUAUAGGUCACCAUUUCGGAGGUCAUAGAAAUUCUACUCAAAUUUCAAAAGGUAAGAUCACUUAGUAUGCGAUGCGAAAAACAGCGGUAUAUUGGGAGGGGAUUUGAUCAUUUAUUGGAGAGGUUCAACGUUCAAAAGUUUGACUACACCACGGUACACACGCGUAAAAAUCUCACUUCUUGAAGCAAGUCUGCUGUCAACAAAUUGUGUUCGCACUGCUUGUCCCAAGUUGUCAACAAGUUUGGAACAAGCUGUUAUAAACAACUUGUAACAACCUUGUUGAUAUUAUCAGACUUGUUGCAAGGUUGUUCCAACAAGUCCAAUACAGUCAUGAUUAAAACAAUAUUGUUACAACCUUGUGUCGUCAGCCUUGUAACAUUCUUGUUAUAUCAUGACUGUAUCAGGCUUGUUAGAACAACUUUGUGACAAGUAUGAUAAUGCGAUCAAGAUUGUUAGAAGUUGUUAACAGCUUGUUCCAAACUUGUUACAACAACUGGGAACAAGCACGCAGUGCGAACACAACUUGUCGACAGCUUGUGAACAGAUUUGUAGCAACUUGUUUGCAGACUUGUAACAACUUGUGCGUUUCAACGUGUGUAGCCCCAGGCUCCCUGAGCUGGGCCUGAAAAAAUCAUAUGUUGGUUCUUUCAUUAAUCAUUAUAUUCCAGAGGUUUUUGGCUGCCAGGCGAGUUUGGUGACAAAUAAAGUUGAGAGACGUGGAUUAAUUUAAUUUUCUGGCUCAUGCAUAAAAUCUAAAAUAUUUUGACCAAUAAUAGAUAGCUUAAGAUCUACGACGUCGACGUCAGCUAGGACGUCAGGGCUAUGCAGAGGACUGGGAUAGGAUGUCGUCCUAAUGUAGUCCCAGUCCUCUGCUUAGCCCUGACGUCCUAGCUGACGUCGACGUCGUAGAUCUUAAGCUAUCUAAUGAAGAUAUAGCACAACAUACUUAACUUGACAUGGAUUUUUGAAAUUCUUUCUAGCCCAGUACCAUCGUAUGUGGCGAAAUAUGUGGACCACAAGUAUCUUUGCAAUUCUUUUCGCUUCAUUUACUUCACUGUUGUUGUUGAAACUUUGUCAAGAAAUUCGCCGAACGAAGAGAAUAAUUAACAGAUCUAGCAUACAGUAAAUAACACUGUGACUUAGAUUUAUCGUCGGUGAAAUCUAUGUCUAUUAUUGAUUACAAAAAAAUAGUAUUAAUAUACGGAUCAUUAACAGAAGACGAAGGACCAAGUCUGGUCUAUACAGUAAAUAAAGAUUUAAGGAUUAUGCAUCCUGGCUUUUAGUCACGAAAAUCCAUCUGAUCAUUACAGUAGACACUUCCGGAAUGUGUUUGUAAUCAUGGGAUAAUGGUACGAGGUCGAGGCUGACAAUGACUUGACGUCGCAACUUUUAAAGGUCUGUUUACAGUUUUUUUGCUGUGAUUUUAGGUGCGAUUUUCUUCUUCUGAUGGAACGAGUGUUAUGAAUGUUCAGAUGAGACUGCGUUUUCAUAACUCGUCUCCUCGUUCACAUGAAUCAGAAGACGAAAUGAAUCGCACUAGAAAUGGCAGCAAAAAUUUCAAGUGUCAACGGGCCUUUAGCAAAAAAAAUAGAUAGUGCCGUCCUGUCAUAAUCCAGUGAUGGAAAUGUUCCAUUCUCUUUUCAUUGUAUUGAAAAUCUCCAUGCCAUUCAGUUUAAACUCAUUGCUUUGCCAUAUUUGCAAGGGUGGGUAGUAGCGAAGUAGUUGUAGUUCGCUACUGUAGCGAACUACAAUUUUCAAGUAGCCAGUAGUUUUUAACUACUUUUUUAAAACAGUAGUUGUAGUUAUAGCGAACUACAAUUUGCCUAAAAGUAGCCAAGUAGUUGACUACUUUUCAAACAACGAAUCGCUAUUCGCUACUUUUUAAAAUUGUUAGCAACCGUUCAUAGAAUAGAAUGAUAUUAAGACACGGUUUGCUUAAUUUAAAAGAUUAUUUUACACAGUAAAGAUAAUUUUAGCGCAAUGAAAAGUGGCACUCCUGAACACUGCAGUGCUUACAAAAAUGUUGCUUUGACCCUUCUUGUUUACUGUUGCUACUCGUAAGUCGAUUUGUUAUAGGUUGUAUUACAGCCUGAGCUAGUGGAUGCUCCAAAUACCAUAAAACUAAAAAAUAUAGCCUUUGUUAAAUAGUAGCAGUAGUUGUAGCUGACUACAUAUUUUUGAAGUAGCUGUAGUUAUAGCGAACUACAAAAAUUUUGUAGUCAACCCACCCUUGCAUAUUUGUGAUUUUAUGCAAAGGCAUAUUGGAUCACGUUGUCAGCCUCGGCUUCAAGAUACUGUAUCAGAAGUGUAGUUAGUGAAGGCCCGUUUACACUUGCAAUUUUUGGUGUUUAUCUUCUGAUGGAUGUGAACGAGUGAAUGCGUUAUGAAUGCUCAGAAGAGGGUGUAUGUGCUCAGAACAGUUAUAACUCAUCUGCUGAUUCACAUCCAUCACAAGAAGUAAUCGCAGCAAAAAUUGCGAGUGUUUAGGAGAGACAUUCAUUUAUCAAAGGAAUUUUUCAGUUAGUGUUGAGUUGACCUUGUACUUGAUUGCCACUUAUAUGAAAUGCAGUUGUGUAAAUGUGAAAAAAAUUUUCAAAAUAUAAUUGUG